RNAcentral lists this unclassified non-coding RNA (520 nucleotides) under uncultured Glomus. RNAcentral's name for it is "SSU rRNA". It matches the Rfam family "Eukaryotic small subunit ribosomal RNA", at positions 569 to 1093 of the family's 1831-position model. Lineage: Eukaryota; Fungi; Glomeromycota; Glomeromycetes; Glomerales; Glomeraceae. The record is from RNAcentral.
AGCAGCCGCGGUAAUUCCAGCUCCAAUAGCGUAUAUUAAAGUUGUUGCAGUUAAAAAGCUCGUAGUUGAAUUUCGGGAUCAAUAUGUUGGUCGUGCCUUGGUACGUACUGGCGUCAUUGGUUUCUACCUUCUGAAGAACCUCGAUGUCAUUAAUUUGGUGUCUUGGGGAAUCAGGACUGUUACUUUGAAAAAUUAGGGUGUUUAAAGCAAGCUCACGCUUGAAUACAUUAGCAUGGAAUAAUGAAAUAGGACGUUUGAUUCUAUUUUGUUGGUUUCUAGGAUCGACGUAAUGAUUAAUAGGGAUAGUUGGGGGCAUUAGUAUUCAAUUGUCAGAGGUGAAAUUCUUGGAUUUAUUGAAGACUAACUACUGCGAAAGCAUUUGCCAAGGAUGUUUUCAUUAAUCAAGAACGAAAGUUAGGGGAUCGAAGACGAUCAGAUACCGUCGUAGUCUUAACCAUAAACUAUGCCGACUAGGGAUCGGAUGAUGUUAAUUUUUAAUGACUCAUUCGGCGCCUUACGG